Molecule: ribosomal RNA, 588 nt
Filed under: Helicotylenchus oleae
Lineage: Eukaryota; Metazoa; Nematoda; Chromadorea; Rhabditida; Hoplolaimidae
Description: eukaryotic LSU rRNA
Rfam family: Eukaryotic large subunit ribosomal RNA (bases 297-588)
Source: RNAcentral
GGCCCGCAUUCAGUCGUGGCCCGGCAGGCGUCAGGGAUGCCGCUCUCCAGAUUGGGACGGUGGCCUGGCUGCCAGUUGGGUUGCGGUGCAUUUGCGGGUGGAGUGCGCCGAGGCGCUCGGCUCAGCUGCAUGAUCUCGGCCUUGAGGCCAGCCCCUCACGGGGUCUGGUACCCGGGUCGGGGGAGUGCUGUUUGGGCUGGGUGUUCAGUGUUGGGCAAUGGUUUCGGGCCCGGGUGGGUGCCGAGCUGGUUGUCGGCGGCGGUCGCGUGCGACACGUGCCAGCGGUCAGUUCGGUCCUGCUCGAGCUCACACGUGCCUGGCCUCGGUGUAAAAGCCGGUCAUCUGUCCGACCCGUCUUGAAACACGGACCAAGGAGUUUAGCGUGUGCGCGAGUCAUUGGGCGUUGAAAACCCAAAGGCGCAAUGAAAGUGAAGGUCUGCCUCGCGCAGCUGAUGUGUGAUCCUGGCCACUGCGGUGCGUCCGGGCGCAACAUAGUCCCGUUCCGAUUGCUUGCAAUGGGGCGGAGACAGAGCGUACGCGCUGAGACCCGAAAGAUGGUGAACUAUUCCUGAGCAGGAGGAAGCCAGA